Molecule: ribosomal RNA, 253 nt
Filed under: uncultured bacterium
Lineage: Bacteria
Description: partial 16S ribosomal RNA
Rfam family: Bacterial small subunit ribosomal RNA
Source: RNAcentral
UACGUAGGGAGCAAGCGUUGUCCGGAAUCAUUGGGCGUAAAGAGCGUGUAGGCGGCUCGGUAAGUCCGCUGUGAAAGUCCAGGGCUCAACCCUGGAAUGCCAGUGGAAACUGUCGAGCUAGAGUCCGGAAGAGGCGAGUGGAAUUCCUGGUGUAGCGGUGAAAUGCGCAGAUAUCAGGAGGAACACCAAUGGCGAAGGCAGCUCGCUGGGACGGUACUGACGCUGAGACGCGAAAGCGUGGGGAGCAAACAGG